RNA transcript from Lineus longissimus, 5105 nucleotides. RefSeq lists it as uncharacterized. The transcript has 4 exons. The record is from RefSeq and is a predicted model, not a curated record. NCBI's taxonomy places the organism in Eukaryota, Metazoa, Nemertea, Pilidiophora, Heteronemertea, Lineidae.
UUGUCGUGUUAAGAUAAGGUAUUGGUUUCUGCAGCAGCUAGACCGGGUGUGGUUCGCUCGGCGCUCUCUUUUUACGUUUGAUAUUUGAUCAACUGGCUGAGGAGGAUUACAUUAUUGUGUACACAGCGCAUGGGAGUAGAUGUCCGAGAUAGGUAACUUGGUGCGUUUUCUUUCUGAAAGAUUCAAAAGUGGAUUACAGCAGAUAGAAUUUUGAAAUGCGGUGUGGGUGUGUUCGGCACCUAAUAAAAUAUUGGCGUUGUCGACAUUAAAUUAAUCAUGGAGUUCUCAAUUGGUAUCAAAAUGCGGGGAUGUGGCGUUUUGCAAGGCAGAUACUGUGCUCUUUUCAAGGAAUAACGACUUGCAACUUUGCACCGCACUGGAUUGGUAUAAGAGACCCUUUAGAUCGUUAAGAUUGUAAGAAGUGUAGCCACCAACGUCAGAACUUAAACACACACAUCCCAAGCAGUCACUAAUCAAUUCUUUUGGUCAAACGCAUAAGCUGCCAAGAACAGAUGUGAUGUCUUUCAGCGUACAGAAGGAUGAGAACUUCGCUCACAGAAGUUGCAUUAAUUGUCACCACGAACUGACUUUGAGACUUCUUCACGGAUACCCCGAAUAAAAGCAAUAAUCUUUCUUGCAGCAACGGUCGGAAUUAUCACAUCUCGUCAGAUUUCCAGUUGUGCUUAAUUGAGUCUUGACGCCGAUGAAUUAAUCUGGCAGUAUAAUGUAGUUUAUCGUCAAACGUUUUGUUGGCACAGGCUGAAAACGUCUUAAUCAUGACAAUUUACACGAUGUCAACUGAAUAUUCACCCAUCUUGCAGCGCUUUCGUUGCUAAAUGUCUUCUAUCACAUACCGGUACAUUCAUCCUGCAAACUACAUACUUUGAGCUGGUCAUCCACGUAGAAAUCAUUACAGGACAAACGGUUCGUUAUCUCUGAAGGCGCUUCAUUACUCGCCUCGCUUCCUUCAACAUAUACUACCUCCAAUCGACUGAACUGGCUGUCGCAUGUCUAGGGUGGUGAGCGCAGGCAGUUCAAGAGGAACUCUUGGGUAAUCGCUGAUUAAGCACUGAUUGAAUUGGAAAGCAGAUUGGCAUAGGAUUCGACGAGGAUAUUGAUAGUUGAGAUUCCACCUAUUUGCACGUAUCAACAGGUGUCCUGUGCAGUACUGUGCAAAAGUGCAAGGUACAGUGGGUAAUCGGUGACGCUUCUUUGUCACUUAAAUUAUUAGUGGGUUGUUCCUUGUAACGGAUGUUCUCAGUUGGAUACAAUCCUAAGGCGAGGAAACUACGAUUCCCACUCGCAUAACUUAACGAGCCGUUUUGAUCUGUGCAAAUAAGGAGGCACAUUGGUUUGUGUCAGUUAUACGAUUUAGCAAAAAUCUUGAGGUGAAACAGAUUCUAUAGUGAAAUUAACUAUAUGUUUUGAAGCUAUAUGUGUGUAUGGGAGUACUAUUGCGUCAGCUACUAUAUACGGCACAGUAAAAAGGAAAAAAUUUAUCGACCUUCGUGUAACAGAACAGAAUUUCUGUGAACGCAUGCGAUGCAAAUACCUCCAAUUGUUCGCCACAGGGAGACAAUUUUUACAAGGGACCAGUGAUUUCGUUGAACGGUUGAGAGAAUUUAUCUUCUCACCAACCUUUGCAAUCUGACUAAACACAUACGGCGUAUAGCAAUCGCCGCAAGCGAUAACAUCUUAGUUUGCGAUCGAUCGCUAUUGCAUUUGCUAGGAGAAGCACAACCGUGUAUCUGGAUUUUGUAGAUUUGGACUUUAUAGAUUUCUAGUUUACAGAUUUGGUGGGUGAGGUCGUGUCAAAAGCCUUCACAAGAGCGGAUUACACAAUAUAUAUAAUAUAGGUACAUAAUCAAGUUCGAGAGCACAUACAUUUGUAUAUCGGAAGGUUGAUCUAGAUCAUAUAACUUUAAAGGCAAAGUUAAGUUUUGAGAGAAAGAAUACUGAUACCCAUUUCAGGGAAGAACCCAUUAUUCUGAUUGGCGUACGUUUGUUCUCAAAUAUGCCAAAUAAUCGUCACUGGAAGCGUCGCCAGGCCAGACUCCACGGUGCCCUACGCGGCUGGCCAAACAAUUCAAUGAUAGUAACAUUUAAUAUCGAAGGUCAGAAUCGAACAUUUAAGGCACUCAUAGACCACAUUCCGCAGGAAAAAGAACCCUACGAUGCAGAAGGUGCCACUCUAUACGUUGUAGCUGUGAUAAUCAUUUAUGGGGUCAGUAUAAUACUGAUGAUUUUAGCAACUGUCCGGGGUCGUCGACAGCAUAGAUACCUUGACCAACAGAUAUCGUCGUACUUCAAAGACGUUGAACGAAUUAGGAAAAAGGCUAUGGCAAAUUCUGUUAUCAACCAAUCCAUUAGUUUAGCAGCUUCACAGACUAGACUGGACUCCAGUACGAAUCAGUUAGACUCAUUACCAUUGAUUGUGGAGUCGUCUGAACCUUCCCCUGACGUGCGAGGUUCUCGCAAUUUUUUCCCGAACGAUUCCGCUAGUUCAUGCAGCACCCCAGCUCUGUCUCAGUGUGGACAAUUCGACGUUGCUGGUGCACCAACGCGCUUUGAAAAAGGGAUUCUGAGAAAAUCAUUUAAUAGAGAGAAUUCAGCGAGUGCUGAGAGUUCGCCAGCUUCAUCUCGGAGUGUCAAGUUCCGGCACGAUUAUGGGGUUGAGAGAGGAGCUCUUCGGCAUCAGCUGAAGUAUCAGAUCGACAGCUUAGGCGUCCUCAGGCCAAAACUAGCGGAUUAUAUUGACGACGAGGAUACUGUUAGUGCUCCCAAUUCUCCUGGACUUGCAAGGGUUCAAUUCAAACCAUUGGGUCAACAGCUUGGUAGAAGGGGCCAGGCGCGUGUACACAAGAUGCAACAAGAACAUGAGGAGCAAAAUAGAUCUGAAACGGAGGAUGAAAACUGAAACUGAUUUACAUGUAAUGCCUUGUGUGUUGACCGGCAAGUAGCACAAUAUUGCAGUGUACACUUAUAUGACGUACACUAGCAUGCUCUUCUGGUCCUCGUUCUCUCGAAAUUGUUUUUUCCCGAAAAAUCUUUGGAAUGAAUAGGUAUGGAAUAGUUUAUGUGAAAGCUCCACUCCAGCAUCUCCAUCUAACGGUUGAAAAACCAAUGGGGGGGGGGGAUCAUCAAAGGACUGUCAAAGUGCAUGAUAACGUACAUGUAUGCAAAUAUGGAGAGUUAGAUCCCAUCCCUUUAAAAGGUGGGGUCCGGUCAUCCAAUACUGAGACAGGGUCGAAACGGUCAGUCUGUUCAUCAAAAGUGAGGGAGCGUCAAAUGUCAGUGUCUGCAUACGAAAAUGUUGGUUCGUUAGCAGCUGUUUUAUGUGAGGGAUUAUAUACCAUGUAAACCGUCCCAUUUUUGUACGACUCAAAUUAUCAAAGUACCGUACUUACUGUUGUUUUAGUGGCUAUUAAAGUUUUUGAUGUUACAAACGAUGCUCGUCGGUUUAUCACAUUUGUAUAUAUAAGUUAAAAAACCAAGGCUACUUCAGGUAGGAAUCUAACCUAUUGACAUAUUAAUCGAUUCUUGUAUGGACAAUUUAUAAGCACUUAAUGUGAUCUGGUGCCAUUUGGUAAGUAAAUAUGUAUAUGUAUGAUUCGAAUUGGUAUACAUUAUACUCGGAAGACAUUUAAACAAAUGAGGUCAGAUAUAAAAAAGAAACAAUAGAAGUCUUGCUGAAUGCCUCAAUUCAAAUUCGUAGUAAUAUAAUACACGAGAUAUUAAGAAUGCUGCUUAAAAGGUGUUUCAUUUUGCUUGCUUGCUCCGGGCAAGUUCUUUGCGGAUUAAAGUCGCUGGGAUCGGACCUCAAGGAUCGCCUGGUCGAGUGUCCAUCAUAUCACUACUACGAGGCCAUCUUCACGUCGUGUCAGCCUUGUGGGAUACUGUGUGAUAUCAGCCAAGAGAUAUGCAUUGAUCGUGGCUGCACAGAUUACUUGGAGCUUUUCGCUGAAGAACCAACGACUUCUCCUUCGACGCCGAAACCUGAACUCCUCUAUGAUAUCAGCCCCAACGACCCCGACUAUAAUGACUACACAGACGACUACGCGCCAGACGAGUCUCCAGCUGCCAAUGAUUGUAUGUGCGUCUCAACCUUCAACGUGAUAUUGGUGUUGUCAAUCUGCGCCAGCGCACCCCUUCUGAUGGCCGUACUCGGCUUACAGAUCUACGUCUUCUUCUGUCGGAGGAGAAAACGUCUCGCAAAGAAAUUCAAGAUGGAAUGCAAAGCACUAAAGAAUACUUCCAAAAGACGUAACGAACUGUGCUUUACCGUACCAAACGGUGGCUAUGGAAACGAAGGAUGCGUUACAAACAGUGGAAGGCCAUAACAUUGUUGAUGGAGCAGAAACACCGAUAACUUCACGGCAGCUGCUGUUGAAAUCAACGCGUUGCUGGAUCUACAAGGUCCUCCAGAAAACUUCACUGCCAAAACUCACAUCCUUGUCAGUGAAGUUUUCCCAUUUAUCGCGAUCAUUUAGUUUUUUGUUGAAGUAUUGUCAUCAUACAUAUCAAUGCCAAUGUAGAAGGUUUAAAAUGUCCUGGGAUAGGAAGUUUAGGGAACAAAGUAUUCUAUUUUACGCUUACGCUUUAAUCUCUGAGCUAUUGACGAUCAUGGCCUCCAUAGAACCAUAUUCCCUAAUUUAUCAGAAUACGAUUUACCCGGACACUUUUUCCAAGGUGUCAUUUUCUACUUGUACACCGGUCGAAAUAGGCUCCUUGUCUACAUCGCCGAUGCGGUAAGCAGAGUAAAUCCUUUCUCAUUUAAUUACAACAGGGAGGAGAAACGACCCCGGCUUUCUCUGGAAAUCCCAGGGCAGUAGCCAGAGAGAAUGCAUUCUGCGUGUACAUGGUAUAGGAGUCGAAGACUCGUGAGGGUUCCUACCAACUCACAGAUGAUGCUGAUGAAGAAAUAAGGAACAAGGAUUUUAGCACGCAUGCCAAUAUUGCAUUGUAAGGUGUACUAUAUUGUUUAAGUGGGUCGAACGUACAUACAAUUGUACAUGACAUAUUACAUGACAUAGUACAUACGCUGUCUGGUAACCGCAAAGAAACUUAAAUGAAUGUACAAGUAUACACAAAGCAAAGCACUUAUU